This 504-nucleotide ribosomal RNA is filed under the name uncultured bacterium. Its description in RNAcentral is "partial 16S ribosomal RNA". It matches the Rfam family "Bacterial small subunit ribosomal RNA", at positions 29 to 523 of the family's 1533-position model. The record is from RNAcentral.
AUUGAACGCUGGCGGCAGGCCUAACACAUGCAAGUCGAACGGUAGCACAGAGAGCUUGCUCUCGGGUGACGAGUGGCGGACGGGUGAGUAAUGUCUGGGAAACUGCCCGAUGGAGGGGGAUAACUACUGGAAACGGUAGCUAAUACCGCAUAACGUCGCAAGACCAAAGUGGGGGACCUUCGGGCCUCACACCAUCGGAUGUGCCCAGAUGGGAUUAGCUAGUAGGUGGGGUAAUGGCUCACCUAGGCGCCGAUCCCUAGCUGGUCUGAGAGGAUGACGCGCCACACUGGAACAGAGACACGGUCCAGACACCUACGGGAGGCAGCAGUGGGGAAGAUUGCACAAUGGGCGCAAGCCUGAUGCAGCCAUGCCGCGUGUAUGAAGAAGGCCUGCGGGUUGUAAAGUACUUUCAGCGGGGAGGAAGGCGGUGAAGUUAAUAGCUUCACCGAUUGACGUUACCCGCAGAAGAAGCACCGGCUAACUCCGUGCCAGCCGCCGCGGUAA